Molecule: small RNA, 292 nt
Filed under: Drosophila yakuba
Lineage: Eukaryota; Metazoa; Arthropoda; Insecta; Diptera; Drosophilidae
Description: GE28925
Source: RNAcentral
AUGACUGGAUGCACAGCAGCGCAGACUCGUCUGAAUAAGGAAGACUUGGAAAACAUGUUAAAUAAUCAGUAAACUGCCUUUGACAAAAUCGUCGUUCGUGGAAAUUUCUGUGGAAGUCUGGAAAACUUAACAAGCUCCUUACAUGACUUAUCGCCGCUAUAUAUGAACGGCGAUGUGCCGUUACUUUUGAUUUCGCUUCGUGCAGUGCAUUCUUAGCUAUAAAGCAAUUGUUUUUUAACGACGCAUAUAUGGAUAAUAGUAGCUCCCAAAAUGUAUGAAUUUGUAGGUGCCA